AGGAGAUGGGGGGUUACGCCAGAAUUACCACACGCAGCCUUCUCUCACCUCCUCUCCCCCAGAAACGCCGCCGCCGCAGCCGCCGCCUCCUCAUCUCGUUUCUUUCAGCCGCCGCCAGAUCUAGGAAGCCACCGGGAGGAGAACAACCCGCCAGACGCCACCCCCGUCGACCUAACCCGCAUCUCCCUCGCGCCCAUCGUCCCCUCUUGGCGCCCCCGCCUCUCCUCUCCCCCAUUCUCCUGCCGCAUUCCAUCCCCUGCUCCUCCGCCGUUCGAGUUGAGUCGUUGCUGCAGAGAGCGCCGCCUCCACUCUCCCAGGCCUUCUCCCCAUCCGCGACGUCGGCACACGGUGCGGGCAAGCUGUGGCGUGUCGUCGCCGUGCUGGGUUGGCCGGCCGGUGCCGCGCGGAUCCGGUUGGACGAGGUCGUUGGCGACCUGCCGCGGGAGGGGGACAGCGGGAUCUGCGCCAGGAGGUCCAGGGCACGCUGCUGCCGCUCGUGCAGCAGAGCGACGGCCUCACCGACGCGUCCGGGGAGAACUGCGUUGGCCUGGUCUUGUAAUGGGCAGGUGAAGUCAUUUUUAUGGGAUGCAAUAGUUCUUCAUCCACUUCCACGGCCCCCAAAACACAGCAGCCCUCACCCGAGGCGCAGAGCAGCCAGAACCAGUGAUGAUCGUGAGAUCCUGCCGACGAUGAUGGAGCUUCUUAAUCAGUUGGAUGGAUUUUAUGAGCUUAGCAAGAUUUUUGGAAGGUUGAAGGUGGAAUCGAACUCCGAGCUCGAGGUUGCGCUGGUGCAGUGGUGGCUGCGAUCGGGCCCGAUCUAGGAAAAAUCUUCCUCGUUUUUGGUCUGCAUGGCGAUGAUCUGUUUCUUCAGGAUCAGCUCGUUGCUAGAGCCGGCUCGGGACGCCUCCUAGACGACGACACGAGCUUGAAGCGAGCGGAACACUGAAGGAGGAUCUCGGGGAUGAAGGAAGCGUCAGCGACGACCUCAGGCGAGAGGCAUGUAAUGCAGGUAAUACUAGAGCUUCCAGCCUCCUCAGGCUGGCGUGGGAACAUCAGUAAGGGCUUGGAGCCUGUCAAAGAGGAGGCAAAGAGGACACUGCUGAUGAAACAUUAGGCCGAGACAAAAACAAAUGCCUAUUGGCUCAGUUUGCUAACCCAUAUGCAGUCUGCAUUCGUGCCGAGAAAGCGGCAACUAGGAGCUGCCGCGUGGGAACUACGUGUUCGAGGAGCAGGUCAUGUGCCUGGUGCUAGACGUGAUGGCAUGGGAUCAGACCGUCAUUACCAACUACCAGCAACAGAACGCGCAAGUCGUCUACGGCCUCGGCAUGACGUGUUGCCCUUUGCGCCAGCGUAGUGCAACAAGCUUGCAGCGUUGCUAUAUUAUUUUGUAAAGAGAUAGAACUUGUAGUACUGAUCAUGUGAAAUGCGCCGAUGUGGUAGGCAACCAUCUUUUUUGAAUGAAAUGUAUUUUAGAUUGUAAAGCUGGCCAAAAAGAGCUGUUGAAUGGGCGUUAUCCUACCUGGCACCGCACAAACUUCCUUUCGGACGCCACAGGUGGCGCCCCAACCACUAGUAAUGUACAAUAGCCGAGCAACCAUGUGCUACCA
Long non-coding RNA from Triticum dicoccoides, 1607 nucleotides. RefSeq lists it as uncharacterized. The transcript is spliced from 7 exons. Lineage: Eukaryota; Viridiplantae; Streptophyta; Magnoliopsida; Poales; Poaceae. The record is from RefSeq and is a predicted model, not a curated record.